UCAAAUAUCAAAUGAGUGUUAGACUAAAAUUAAUUAGUCCUUAUUUGGAAUUCAUUAUUUAUGAUUGAAUUAAUCGCUCGAGAUAAAAUUCUCUUGAAUUAAUUUUGAGUAAGUGGGUUUGUAUGUAAAUCCUCAAGUUUAUUAAAUUAAUUAAUCUCUCGAUUAAUUAAUACCAAUAAUUAAAUCUACGGGUUUAAUUAAAGUGAAUGAGUUUAUGAAAGAGAGAAGGAAAAUAGGAUGCAUAUCCUAAGAGCAUAUCAUCCGCUAUUGUUAUUUCUUUGAAGCUAAAUAGUUUAUUAUCUUUUAUUGGACAAGGUCCAUCGCAAGGAAUUUAACUCCAAGUGGGUUAAUAUUGUCAUACGGAGUAAGAAGCAUACGAGGUUGAGCUCUGAUGGAGUGGAGUGUGCUGAAUCAACUAUCUUAUCCUACUACUGUAUGCCGAAUAAAGAAAUCUACCCUACUAGUGUGUACUACUCUCGGAGGUUCAUGUCUUCAUACAUGUAACCGCGUUCCAGUCGCUUCCGCUGUUUUAUUCCAUAAAUUGAGAUCCCUAUUUCUAAAGAAACUCUGAUGUGUGCUAUGUUGUAUUGUAAGAACCUUAACUCGAUUUUGCAUAAUCGAGUAUUGAUUAAGCGAGUAUUGUGUGUGAAAAUCCUUUUUAUCUAAA
Salvia hispanica is the source of this 667-nucleotide long non-coding RNA. RefSeq lists it as uncharacterized. The record is from RefSeq and is a predicted model, not a curated record. NCBI's taxonomy places the organism in Eukaryota, Viridiplantae, Streptophyta, Magnoliopsida, Lamiales, Lamiaceae.